AGAGCGAACGCUGGCGGCAUGCUUAACACAUGCAAGUCGCACGGGCAGGGGAAACCCUGUCAGUGGCGGACGGGUGAGUAACGCGUAGGUAUCUAUCCUUGGGUGGGGGAUAACGGUUGGAAACGACUGCUAAUACCGCAUGAUAACUGAGGUUUAAAGGCGCAAGUCGCCUGGGGAGGAGCCUGCGUACGAUUAGCUUGUUGGUGGGGUAAAGGCCUACCAAGGCGACGAUCGUUAGCUGGUCUGAGAGGAUGAUCAGCCACAUUGGGACUGAGACACGGCCCAAACUCCUACGGGAGGCAGCAGUGGGGAAUAUUGGACAAUGGGCGAAAGCCUGAUCCAGCAAUGCCGCGUGUGUGAAGAAGGUCUUCGGAUUGUAAAGCACUUUCGACAGGGACGAUGAUGACGGUACCUGUAGAAGAAGCCCGGCUAACUUCGCGCCAGCAGCCGC
This 451-nucleotide ribosomal RNA is filed under the name uncultured bacterium. Its description in RNAcentral is "SSU rRNA". It matches the Rfam family "Bacterial small subunit ribosomal RNA", at positions 26 to 518 of the family's 1533-position model. The record is from RNAcentral.